GUGCCAGCAGCCGCGGUAAUACGUAGGGGGCAAGCGUUAUCCGGAUUCAUUGGGCGUAAAGCGCGCGUAGGCGGUCUGUUAGGUCAGGAGUUAAAUCUGGGGGCUCAACCCCUAUCCGCUCCUGAUACCGGCAGGCUUGAGUCUGGUAGGGGAAGAUGGAAUUCCAAGUGUAGCGGUGAAAUGCGCAGAUAUUUGGAAGAACACCGGUGGCGAAGGCGGUCUUCUGGGCCAUGACUGACGCUGAGGCGCGAAAGCUAGGGGAGCGAACAGGAUUAGAUACCCUGGUAGUCCUAGCUGUAAACGAUGGACACUAGGUGUGGGGAGAUUAUACUUUCCGUGCCGCAGCUAACGCAUUAAGUGUCCCGCCUGGGGAGUACGGUCGCAAGACUAAAACUUAAAGGAAUUGACGG
RNAcentral lists this ribosomal RNA (410 nucleotides) under uncultured organism. Its description in RNAcentral is "SSU rRNA". It matches the Rfam family "Bacterial small subunit ribosomal RNA", at positions 505 to 916 of the family's 1533-position model. The record is from RNAcentral.